CCCAUAAUGAUUUCUUUGAGAAAUUUUAAUCAGGUUUUCCAUCACAGAGUGCAUUUGUUGCUGGCACUUGAUCUCUUGGCCAGCUGAAGCUUCUGUGCUCCUUUGUCUCUCGAGCAGUUGGGUCUUUUAUAAACUUUCUGGAGCAGUUAUUAAUCACGGAACUCUUUUACCUUUUUUGAGGUGCAAAACUGCACACGGAGUAAAAUACUGGUGUGGUGACACGAGCUAAUUAUCCGCAGCGCUGCUGAUAAGAGUUAGCAUGUUAGCAGUAAUGCCUACAACAGCGUAAUUACUCUGGGUUUCUGUUAUUUUGUAGCAACCAUAUAAUUAGCUGGCUGUACCAGGAGCUGUCUGCUUUUUAUGGCAACCUGUACUCACUAGAAAAGGCUGAGGGAGUGAUCUGUCGCCUUCAUGCUCGCGGGGUAGCGCCAGAAAAUAAGCGUGAAACAGAAGUUAAAAAUCAUACAUCAAACCCUUCUUUUUGGGUGCUGUUCCUGUGGCUAUGGCAUACACGAUAUCAUGGCCGAACUCCUACCGGCUUUCCUUACAGCCAGUGGAGUGGAGGUUUCUUCGUCGUGACUGUUCCCUAUCGUGAUCUGAGAGAGCUGCGAGACUGUGCCCAGGGUAGCAUCUUGUUUUCAGCCGUGUCCAGCAGUCACCUGCAGGGAGCUGCUUCGACACGGGACAGGCGGCAGUGCAGCACCGGCCUCUUCUGCGGGGUUCAGAACCACAGGCUGAAAGCACCCUGGAAGAGCAGUUCCCUUCAUCUCGCUUUGACUUGCCAGUUCUCUGUCCAGCUCCUCCUCCUUCCACCAUUUCAGCGCCAGCUUGACAAGCUGUCUUUACAGGAAAACGUCUAG
Molecule: long non-coding RNA, 860 nt
Filed under: Anser brachyrhynchus (Pink-footed goose)
Lineage: Eukaryota; Metazoa; Chordata; Aves; Anseriformes; Anatidae
Description: lncRNA (ENSABRG00000022105.1)
Source: RNAcentral